RNAcentral lists this ribosomal RNA (330 nucleotides) under uncultured eukaryote. Its description in RNAcentral is "partial 18S ribosomal RNA". It matches the Rfam family "Eukaryotic small subunit ribosomal RNA", at positions 1470 to 1796 of the family's 1831-position model. The record is from RNAcentral.
CCCUUAGAUGUUCGGGGCCGCACGCGCGCUACACUGAAGGAAUCAGCACGUCUUUCUCCUUGUCCGAAAGGACUGGGUAACCCGCUGAACCUCCUUCGUGCUAGGGAUUGGGGCUUGUAAUUCUUCCCCAUGAACGAGGAAUUCCCAGUAAGCGCGAGUCAUAAGCUCGCGUUGAUUACGUCCCUGCCCUUUGUACACACCGCCCGUCGCUACUACCGAUUGGAUGGUUUAGUGAGAUCCUCGGAUUGGUCCCGGCGCGGCCUCUGGUCGUGCCGGAGUGUCGAAAAGAAUGUCGAACUUGAUCAUCUAGAGGAAGUAAAAGUCGUAACA